UGGCCUUGACAUACUAAGAACUUUCCAGAGAUGGAUUGGUGCCUUCGGGAACUUUAGAUACAGGUGCUGCAUGGCUGUCGUCAGCUCGUGUCGUGAGAUGUUGGGUUAAGUCCGCAACGAGCGCAACCCUUUUCCUUAUUUGCCAGCGGGUAAUGCCGGGAACUUUAAGGAUACUGCCAGUGACAAACUGGAGGAAGGCGGGGACGACGUCAAGUCAUCAUGGCCCUUACGGCCAGGGCUACACACGUGCUACAAUGGUCGGUACAAAGGGUUGCUACCUCGCGAGAGGAUGCUAAUCUCAAAAAGCCGAUCGUAGUCCGGAUCGCAGUCUGCAACUCGACUGCGUGAAGUCGGAAUCGCUAGUAAUCGCGGAUCAGAAUGCCGCGGUGAAUACGUUCCCGGGCCUUGUACACACCGCCCGUCACACCAUGGGAGUUUGUUGCACCAGAAGUAGGUAGUCUAACCGCAAGGAGGACGCUUACCACGGUGUGGCCGAUGACUGGGGUGAAGUCGUAACAAGGUAAGCGUAGAUGA
Molecule: ribosomal RNA, 534 nt
Filed under: uncultured bacterium
Lineage: Bacteria
Description: bacterial SSU rRNA
Rfam family: Bacterial small subunit ribosomal RNA
Source: RNAcentral